Molecule: ribosomal RNA, 427 nt
Filed under: uncultured bacterium
Lineage: Bacteria
Description: partial 16S ribosomal RNA
Rfam family: Bacterial small subunit ribosomal RNA
Source: RNAcentral
UGGGGAAUAUUGGACAAUGGGCGAAAGCCUGAUCCAGCCAUGCCGCGUGUGUGAAGAAGGUCUUCGGAUUGUAAAGCACUUUAAGUUGGGAGGAAGGGCAUUAACCUAAUACGUUAGUGUUUUGACGUUACCGACAGAAUAAGCACCGGCUAACUCUGUGCCAGCAGCCGCGGUAAUACAGAGGGUGCAAGCGUUAAUCGGAAUUACUGGGCGUAAAGCGCGCGUAGGUGGUUUGUUAAGUUGGAUGUGAAAUCCCCGGGCUCAACCUGGGAACUGCAUUCAAAACUGACUGACUAGAGUAUGGUAGAGGGUGGUGGAAUUUCCUGUGUAGCGGUGAAAUGCGUAGAUAUAGGAAGGAACACCAGUGGCGAAGGCGACCACCUGGACUAAUACUGACACUGAGGUGCGAAAGCUUGGGGAGCAAACA